GCCCUCAUCGAUUAGUUGGUCCAAAAUCAAUCGUCUCAUAAUCGGUAGCCAGCAGUUCGAAUCUGCUUGAGGGCA
RNAcentral lists this transfer RNA (75 nucleotides) under Kwoniella heveanensis CBS 569. RNAcentral's name for it is "tRNA-Met (CAT) (tRNA-Met-CAT-2-1)". It matches the Rfam family "tRNA". Rfam says of the family: Transfer RNA (tRNA) molecules are approximately 80 nucleotides in length. Their secondary structure includes four short double-helical elements and three loops (D, anti-codon, and T loops). Lineage: Eukaryota; Fungi; Basidiomycota; Tremellomycetes; Tremellales; Cryptococcaceae. The record is from RNAcentral.